ACUCCUACGGGAGGCAGCAGUGGGGAAUAUUGCACAAUGGGGGAAACCCUGAUGCAGCCAUGCCGCGUGUGUGAGAAGGCAGCUUCGGGUUGUAAAGCACUUUCAGUAGGGAGGAAGGUAGUGUAGUUAACACCUGCACUAUUUGACGUUACCUACAGAAGAAGCACCGGCUAACUCCGUGCCAGCAGCCGCGGUAAUACGGAGGGUGCGAGCGUUAAUCGGAAUUACUGGGCGUAAAGCGCAUGCAGGCGGCCUGUUAAGUCAGAUGUGAAAGCCCGGGGCUUAACCUCGGAAUUGCAUUUGAAACUGGCAGGCUAGAGUCUUGUAGAGGGGGGUAGAAUUUCAGGUGUAGCGGUGAAAUGCGUAGAGAUCUGAAGGAAUACCAGUGGCGAAGGCGGCCCCCUGGACAAAGACUGACGCUCAGAUGCGAAAGCGUGGGGAGCAAACAGGAUUAGAUACCCUGGUAGG
This 468-nucleotide ribosomal RNA is filed under the name uncultured bacterium. Its description in RNAcentral is "bacterial SSU rRNA". It matches the Rfam family "Bacterial small subunit ribosomal RNA", at positions 335 to 794 of the family's 1533-position model. The record is from RNAcentral.